UACUUAAAAAAAAAAGGAAAAAAAAAUUGGAAAAACACAGAGAAGACUAGCACAGCCCCUGCUGGAGGAUGACACACAAAUUUGGUGAAGUGUUCCAUAUAAUU
This is a small nuclear RNA of Mesoplodon densirostris (Blainville's beaked whale), 104 nucleotides long. NCBI's taxonomy places the organism in Eukaryota, Metazoa, Chordata, Mammalia, Artiodactyla, Ziphiidae. The record is from RefSeq and is a predicted model, not a curated record.